RNAcentral lists this ribosomal RNA (549 nucleotides) under Vibrio parahaemolyticus. RNAcentral describes it as "bacterial SSU rRNA". It matches the Rfam family "Bacterial small subunit ribosomal RNA", at positions 401 to 944 of the family's 1533-position model. The record is from RNAcentral. Lineage: Bacteria; Pseudomonadati; Pseudomonadota; Gammaproteobacteria; Vibrionales; Vibrionaceae.
GUGUGAAGAAGGCCUUCGGGUUGUAAAGCACUUUCAGUCGUGAGGAAGGUAGUGUAGUUAAUAGCUGCAUUAUUUGACGUUAGCGACAGAAGAAGCACCGGCUAACUCCGUGCCAGCAGCCGCGGUAAUACGGAGGGUGCGAGCGUUAAUCGGAAUUACUGGGCGUAAAGCGCAUGCAGGUGGUUUGUUAAGUCAGAUGUGAAAGCCCGGGGCUCAACCUCGGAAUUGCAUUUGAAACUGGCAGACUAGAGUACUGUAGAGGGGGGUAGAAUUUCAGGUGUAGCGGUGAAAUGCGUAGAGAUCUGAAGGAAUACCGGUGGCGAAGGCGGCCCCCUGGACAGAUACUGACACUCAGAUGCGAAAGCGUGGGGAGCAAACAGGAUUAGAUACCCUGGUAGUCCACGCCGUAAACGAUGUCUACUUGGAGGUUGUGGCCUUGAGCCGUGGCUUUCGGAGCUAACGCGUUAAGUAGACCGCCUGGGGAGUACGGUCGCAAGAUUAAAACUCAAAUGAAUUGACGGGGGCCCGCACAAGCGGUGGAGCAUGUGG